This 743-nucleotide long non-coding RNA is filed under the name Salmo salar (Atlantic salmon). RNAcentral describes it as "lncRNA (ENSSSAG00000116538.1)". The record is from RNAcentral. Lineage: Eukaryota; Metazoa; Chordata; Actinopteri; Salmoniformes; Salmonidae.
GUCUUGUUAUCUAUGAUAUUGGGAGGGUCUUAUUAUCUGUGAUAUUGGGAUGUUUACAGUUGGGAGGGUCUUGUUAUCUGUCAUAUUGGGAUGUUUACUGUUGGGGGGGUCUUGUUAUCUGUGAUAUUGGGAGGGUCUUAUUAUCUGUGAUAUUCGGAGGGUCUUGUUAUCUAUGAUAUUGGGAGGGUCUUAUUAUCUGUGAUAUUGGGAUGUUUACAGUUGGGAGGGUCUUGUUAUCUGUCAUAUUGGGAUUGUCUUGUUAUCUGUGAUAUUGGGAGGGUCUUAUUAAAUAUGAUAUUUGGAGGGUCUUAUUAUAUGUAAUAUUGGGAGGGUCUUAUUAUCUGUUAUAUUUGGAUGGUCUUACUAUCUAUGAUUUUGGGAGGGUCUUAUUAUAUGUGAUAUUUGGAUGGUCUUAUUAUCUAUGAUUUUUGGAGGGUCUUAUUAUCUGUUAUAUUUGAAGGGUCUUAUUAUCUAUGAUUUUGGGAGGGUCUUAUUAUAUUAGAUAUUGUGAGGGUCUUAUUAUCUAUUAUAUUGGGGGGGUCUUAUUAUCUGUGAUAUUGGGAGGGUCUUAUUGUAUGUUAUAUUGGGAGUGUCUUAUUAUCUGUGAUAUUGGGAGGGUCUUAUUGUAUGUUAUAUUGGGAGUGUCUUAUUAUCUGUGAUAUUGGGAGGGUCUUAUUGUAUGUUAUAUUGGGAGUGUCUUAUUAUCUGUGAUAUUGGGAGGGUCUUAUUAUCUAUGAUAUUGG